UCCAUGUGAUCCCUAAAGCAGUUACAGGAGAAAGUCUGGGAGAUUAUUAACCCUAAGCUGGCAGAUGAAGAGAGGGGGUGAAAGGCUUUUCCAAAAUGACACCACAAGCAAAAGAUGGGCCACAUUUGGAGUGUUCUUCUGUGAUCCUGGAAAAUGCUGGACUGUGACUACCUUGACGAAGGAGGGGAACUGGAACUCUCCUGCAGACACCAGGCACUGAAUAAAUGCAUCAUGUUACCUGCUCAGCCAGAAUCUGCUGCUGCUGCUGUUGCUGCUGCUGCUGCUGCCUUUGCUCCCGCAGGAACUGUUGCUUCUGUUGCUCCAUCAGCUGGGCCCGCUGAUCCAUGAGCAUCUGCUUCAUGAUGGCUGCUUGGGGCUGGCUGCUGAGGAAGCCGGGUCCCGCGGCACUGGCUCCGGACACCAUGCCGCUCGAGCCUGGGGGCACCGAGGACUGCAUGGGGCCUGUGGUCCGGGGGAGUCCAACUGGGUGCUGUUCCUGGGAGGACAGGAAGAUGAGAGAAAGCACAGAUUUCAUAUUUGAAAGGAAGCAUGGGGCAGAGGCCUCUGCUUGUGGACCCAAGGGGUCCCCAGUGGCACACAGUCUAUUCCACAGAAACACAGGAAUCCUCAAAUCUGGCCUUACCGUGGUGGAACUGGAGGGGUGCAGGGGGACAGUAAUACAGGACGGCUCUGGGAUGUCUGAAAGCAAGUCCAGUCUCUUUUGGAUGGGACUGAUUAGAGGAUAAAGGCCAGGUAAUCAGUUAGCAUUCUACUUUCCUCCAAAGGAAAGGGAUGAAGACCUCCGGCUGGGCUACCUUGAGUUUGGAAUGAGAUAGCCUGACCUUACCUCUUUUUUUUUUUUUUUUUAAGAUUUUAUUUAUUUGACAGACACAGAUCAUAAGAAGGCAGAGCAGUAGGCAGACAGAGAGAGAGGGGUAAGCAGGAUCCCUGCUGAGCAGAGACCAAUGCAGGGCUCGAUCCCAGGACCCUGAGAUCAUGACCGGGGCCCAAGGCAGAGGCUUAAUGCACUGAGCCACCCAGGUGCCCCCUGACCUUACCUCCUAACCUUCACUGCCCACCUGGCCUAAAUGGACUUCUUCUAAGUUAGCAGGAAAGACAUUUACAGAAGAAUUCUGGAAUUUAUUAAUCAAAAGAUCUACUAUUCGAUGGAAUUCUAAUUAAUUGCAACACUAGAAAGCUUUGCUAUAUGUAAAAAAAAAAAAAAUCCUGCUAGUGGGAGUUGUUGAUGGUGAGAACUGGGAAUGUGUUACACUGAACAAAGCUACGCAAUCUCCCGACAUCUUUCAAAAUAGAACCAAACCUCCUAUGUCUGGGACAAUUUAAAAUGUGGGGGUUGAUUCGGGUCUUUUGAUUCUACAAUUGUCUCAGUCAAACGAUGGCAACUUGUAAGGAUUGGUACUUAAGGAGUAGGAAGUUAAGUGGUAGAAAACUACCCACAGAAUCUAGUGACUACUUCGAAGAUGUGUUCAGAGGGUAAGCCCAUAACAGCCAGACAGUGUAGACCAGGGAAAAAUAGCUGAUGGGCAGAGUUGGUAGGUGACCAUAAGAUUCAGCUUCUAGAUAGUUCCUUUCUUGUUCAUCUACCAAGUGCACCUGGUAAUGGCAUGUAUGGUCAGACUACUCUGCAGAAUUGUUCCUUUUAACUCAUUCAAGUUUCAAGUAAUCAAUCUCAACACAGAGGAUCUGAUGUCUGAGAUGAACACAAAUUAAACGGGCACACACGUAAGGACAUUCCCAGUCACAGGGUGUGGGAUCAUCAUGAGGCCAAAAUAGUAAGAAAUGAAUACGAAUAACUCUAGUUAUUUAAAUAUUUUUGUCUCCAAACUGGGUUUUAGAAUUUUUUCCUACUUCUGUUUUGCUCUUUGGUACAGAUAGAGUCAAUCAGGCUGGCACUGUCCUCUCAAAAUAUACAGUUGAGUUUGAUCUCUGACUCUCCUACAGACCCAGUCCUGGAUUGGAUUCCCCACAGCCUGGGCUGGUGGACCUUCCUUCUGUGGUGUGGUGCUCAGCCACUCGUGCUUCUCUUUCCAGUAGCGAGAUACGUUAACCACAUCUUCAGCUGCUCUUCCUCUCACCCUCCACUGACACAAACGACAAGCGAAACAAAAAACCAUUACUCCUCUCAGCCUGGGAACAAGAGGACAAGUAGUUCUGGGGAGUUAGUGCGGUAGCCCAGGUCACACUUAGCCAAAGGAAGAAUCGGAAAGAACAGAAUCAGAACACUGACCCGGGGUCUAAAUUUAGUAUUCCUUCCACUAGCACAGGCCCUUCCCAGACUGCAGGUCACUGGUGCCAAGUGUAUGCCCAAGAACUGCUUGCAGACUAAAUAUACAGUAUGUCUCCCAUAA
This is a long non-coding RNA of Mustela lutreola (European mink), 2369 nucleotides long. RefSeq lists it as uncharacterized. NCBI's taxonomy places the organism in Eukaryota, Metazoa, Chordata, Mammalia, Carnivora, Mustelidae. The record is from RefSeq and is a predicted model, not a curated record. The transcript has 2 exons.